GGAGGCUCCGGCAGCAGUGCCGGACAGGCGGGAGACUCCGGCAGCAGCGCCGGACAGGCGGGACCACCUGCAGGGAGGAGACAGAGAGACAGCCUGGUGCGUGGGGCUGCCACAGGAACCACCAGGCUGGGGAGACCUUCAGGAGGCUUGGUGUUAGGAGGAGGCACCUGAAGGACCGGGCUGUGGGGGAGCACUGGAGCUCUGGUGCGCAACCUUGGCACCACUUCCCCAGGCUGUCUCUCUGUCUCCUCCCUGCAGGUGGUCCUGUCUGUCCGGCGCCGCUGCCGGAGUCUCCCGCCUGUCCGGCGCUGCUGCCGGAGUCUCCCGCCUGUCCGGCGCUGCUGCCGGAGUCUCCCGCCUGUCCGGCGCUGCUGCCGGAGCCUCCCGCCUGUCCGGCGCCGCUGCCGGAGCCUCCCGCCUGUCCGGCGCCGCUGCCGGAGCCUCCCGCCUGUCCGGCGACGCUGCCGGAGCC
Molecule: long non-coding RNA, 472 nt
Organism: Oncorhynchus tshawytscha (Chinook salmon)
Lineage: Eukaryota; Metazoa; Chordata; Actinopteri; Salmoniformes; Salmonidae
Source: Ensembl